CAGCGGCUCCCACUGGCUGCUCUGGACGCGGCCCUCGAGCGCUACUUCGCGGAACACCACAACCCAACGCUGCCCUACCACCAACUGCCGCACUUUAAGUUGAUACUGGUCGCCUCCCAACUGGUGGCGGGCGGUGCCGGUGCCGCGGACAGUGCGAGCGAUAGCGAAAAGCGCGCUCUGUGCGUGUCGCAGUGGGCGCGGGUCACGGCCGCGCCCGCACUCGCGCCGCACGUCGCGGGCCACACGCAACACUUGCUCCAC
Molecule: unclassified non-coding RNA, 261 nt
Filed under: Melitaea cinxia (Glanville fritillary)
Lineage: Eukaryota; Metazoa; Arthropoda; Insecta; Lepidoptera; Nymphalidae
Description: misc RNA ENSMCXG00005019764.1
Source: RNAcentral